This 468-nucleotide ribosomal RNA is filed under the name uncultured bacterium. Its description in RNAcentral is "partial 16S ribosomal RNA". It matches the Rfam family "Bacterial small subunit ribosomal RNA", at positions 28 to 507 of the family's 1533-position model. The record is from RNAcentral.
GACGAACGCUGGCGGCGUGCUUAACACAUGCAAGUCGAACGGAAAGGCCCUGCUUUUGUGGGGUGCUCGAGUGGCGAACGGGUGAGUAACACGUGAGUAACCUGCACUUGACUUUGGGGUAACUUCAGGAAACUGGGGCUAAUACCGGAUAGGAGCUCCUGCUGCAUGGUGGGGGUUGGAAAGUUUCGGCGGUUGGGGAUGGACUCGCGGCUUAUCAGCUUGUUGGUGGGGUAGUGGCUUACCAAGGCUUUGACGGGUAGCCGGCCUGAGAGGGUGACCGGCCACAUUGGGACUGAGAUACGGCGCAGACUCCUACGGGAGGCAGCAGUGGGGAAUAUUGCAGAAUGGGCGGAAGCCUGAUGCAGCAACGCUGCGUGCGGGAUGACGGCCUUCGGGUUGUAAACCGCUUUCGCCUGUGACGAAGCGUGAGUGACGGUAAUGGGUAAAGAAGCACCGGCUAACUACGUG